GAUGAACGCUGGCGGCGUGCCUAAUACAUGCAAGUCGAGCGAACAGAUGAGGAGCUUGCUCCUCUGACGUUAGCGGCGGACGGGUGAGUAACACGUGGAUAACCUACCUAUAAGACUGGGAUAACUUCGGGAAACCGGAGCUAAUACCGGAUAAUAUAUUGAACCGCAUGGUUCAAUAGUGAAAGACGGUUUUGCUGUCACUUAUAGAUGGAUCCGCGCCGCAUUAGCUAGUUGGUAAGGUAACGGCUUACCAAGGCAACGAUGCGUAGCCGACCUGAGAGGGUGAUCGGCCACACUGGAACUGAGACACGGUCCAGGCUCCUGCGGGAGGCAGCAGUAGGGAAUCGGCCGCAAUGGGCGAGAGCCUGACGGAGCAACGCCGCGUGAGUGAUGAAGGUCUUCGGAUCGUAAAACUCUGUUAUUAGGGAAGAACAAAUGUGUAAGUAACUAUGCACGUCUUGACGGUACCUAAUCAGAAAGCCACGGCUAACUACGUG
RNAcentral lists this ribosomal RNA (497 nucleotides) under uncultured bacterium. Its description in RNAcentral is "partial 16S ribosomal RNA". It matches the Rfam family "Bacterial small subunit ribosomal RNA", at positions 28 to 507 of the family's 1533-position model. The record is from RNAcentral.